Molecule: transfer RNA, 78 nt
Filed under: Acidobacteriota bacterium
Lineage: Bacteria; Pseudomonadati; Acidobacteriota
Description: tRNA-Met
Rfam family: tRNA
About the family: Transfer RNA (tRNA) molecules are approximately 80 nucleotides in length.
Source: RNAcentral
UGCGGAGUAGCUCAGACGGAUGAGAGCGCCGGUCUCAUAAACCGGAGGGCGCGAGUUCGAUUCUCGCCUCCGCAACCA